GAUGAACGCUAGCUACAGGCUUAACACAUGCAAGUCGAGGGGCAGCGGGUUGAAAGCUUGCUUUCAAUGCCGGCGACCGGCGCACGGGUGCGUAACGCGUAUCAAACCUGCCUCAUACUCGGGGAUAGCCUUGCGAAAGUAAGAUUAAUACCCGAUGUUGUUGCUUUCUCGCAUGGGAGAGUAACCAAAGAUUUAUCGGUAUGAGAUGGUGAUGCGUCCGAUUAGGUAGUAGGCGGGGUAACGGCCCACCUAGCCUUCGAUCGGUAGGGGUUCUGAGAGGAAGGUCCCCCACACUGGAACUGAGACACGGCCCAGACUCCUACGGGAGGCAGCAGUGGGGAAUUUUGGACAAUGGGCGCAAGCCUGAUCCAGCCAUGCCGCGUGUCUGAAGAAGGCCUUCGGGUUGUAAAGGACUUUUGUCAGGGAAGAAAAGGCUGUUGCUAAUAUCGACAGCUGAUGACGGUACCUGAAGAAUAAGCACCGGCUAACUACGUGCCAGCAGCCGCGGUAAUACGUAGGGUGCGAGCGUUAAUCGGAAUUACUGGGCGUAAAGCGAGCGCAGACGGUUACUUAAGCAGGAUGUGAAAUCCCCGGGCUCAACCUGGGAACUGCGUUCUGAACUGGGUGACUAGAGUGUGUCAGAGGGAGGUAGAAUUCCACGUGUAGCAGUGAAAUGCGUAGAGAUGUGGAGGAAUACCGAUGGCGAAGGCAGCCUCCUGGGAUAACACUGACGUUCAUGCUCGAAAGCGUGGGUAGCAAACAGG
RNAcentral lists this ribosomal RNA (764 nucleotides) under uncultured Enterobacteriaceae bacterium. RNAcentral describes it as "bacterial SSU rRNA". It matches the Rfam family "Bacterial small subunit ribosomal RNA", at positions 28 to 776 of the family's 1533-position model. The record is from RNAcentral. Lineage: Bacteria; Pseudomonadati; Pseudomonadota; Gammaproteobacteria; Enterobacterales; Enterobacteriaceae.